This 439-nucleotide ribosomal RNA is filed under the name uncultured bacterium. RNAcentral describes it as "partial 16S ribosomal RNA". It matches the Rfam family "Bacterial small subunit ribosomal RNA", at positions 339 to 795 of the family's 1533-position model. The record is from RNAcentral.
CUACGGGGUGCAGCAGUGGGGAAUAUUGGACAAUGGGGGCAACCCUGAUCCAGCCAUGCCGCGUGAGUGAUGAAGGCCUUCGGGUUGUAAAGCUCUUUUGGCGGGGACGAUGAUGACGGUACCCGCAGAAUAAGCCCCGGCUAACUUCGUGCCAGCAGCCGCGGUAAGACGAAGGGGGCAGGCGUUGUUCGGAAUUACUGGGCGUAAAGCGAGUGUAGGCGGCGAGCCAAGUCGGGUGUGAAAGCCUCGAGCUCAACUCGAGAAAUGCAUUCGGUACUGGCCUGCUAGAGGACCGGAGAGGAUAGUGGAAUUCCCAGUGUAGUGGUGAAAUACGUAGAGAUUGGGAAGAACACCAGUGGCGAAGGCGGCUAUCUGGACGGUUACUGACGCUAAGACUCGAAAGCGUGGGGAGCAAACAGGAUUAGAUACCCCCGUAGUC